ACAGAUGAGAGUUUGAUCCUGGCUCAGAACGAACGCUGGCGGCGUGCCUAACACAUGCAAGUCGAACGCUGAGCAC
Molecule: ribosomal RNA, 76 nt
Filed under: Nitrospiraceae bacterium
Lineage: Bacteria; Pseudomonadati; Nitrospirota; Nitrospiria; Nitrospirales; Nitrospiraceae
Description: partial 16S ribosomal RNA
Rfam family: Bacterial small subunit ribosomal RNA
Source: RNAcentral